AUAGAGACUUUGUCCAAGGAGAUUGCUGACCUCAAGCUCUCUGUGGACCAAUUGGAAAAGGAAAGAGAUUUUUACUUUGCAAAAUUAAGGGAUAUAGAGUUACUUUGUCAAACUCCUGAAUUGGAGGAUCUACCAAUGGCUGUUGCAAUCAAGAAGAUAUUGUAUGCUGCUGAUGCUAAGGAAUCUGCACUUGAAGAAGCUCAGGAAUAUUUGUAUGAAGCGAUGAAUAAUGGGGAAGCUGAAGAUGAGGCCUGAAUUUUGAUUAGCAAUGUAUGAUGUUGCCUAGGAAAAGGGAUGACACUUUCAGGGCAUCUUGGUUGCAUUGAUCGC
This 330-nucleotide unclassified non-coding RNA is filed under the name Hevea brasiliensis (rubber tree). The record is from RNAcentral. Lineage: Eukaryota; Viridiplantae; Streptophyta; Magnoliopsida; Malpighiales; Euphorbiaceae.